Non-coding RNA from Ciona savignyi (Pacific transparent sea squirt), 46 nucleotides. Lineage: Eukaryota; Metazoa; Chordata; Ascidiacea; Phlebobranchia; Cionidae. The record is from Rfam.
AAAACGGCUCUUUUUAGAGCCACCUCAUUUUUUAAAAAGAGGCUCA